Molecule: ribosomal RNA, 253 nt
Filed under: uncultured bacterium
Lineage: Bacteria
Description: partial 16S ribosomal RNA
Rfam family: Bacterial small subunit ribosomal RNA
Source: RNAcentral
UACGACGGGGGCUAGCGUUGUUCGGAAUUACUGGGCGUAAAGCGCACGUCGGCGGAUACUUAAGUCAGGGGUGAAAUCCCGGGGCUCAACCCCGGAACUGCCUUUGAUACUGGGUAUCUCGAGUCCGGAAGAGGUGAGUGGAAUUCCGAGUGUAGAGGUGAAAUUCGUAGAUAUUCGGAGGAACACCAGUGGCGAAGGCGGCUCACUGGUCCGGUACUGACGCUGAGGUGCGAAAGCGUGGGGAGCAAACAGG